CAGCAUUGGUCAACAGAAAGGGCCUAAUUCUCCACAUCAAUGCGCGACCACAUGUCAUAUAACCAAUGUUUCAAAAGUUGAAUGAAUUGGGCUAUGAAGUUUUGCCUCAUCCACCAGAAAGUUUUAUUUGACAGCAAUGUUCUAAGGAUUAAAUAAAAUCUGCAAAAAAAAAAAUAAUAAAUUCCCACCAUAUAUUAGGUAUUCACAUAUGAUAGUUAACUUUUUGUUAACUUUAACAGAAUUUUAAGACCAUGUGCCAAAAUCUG
This 266-nucleotide long non-coding RNA is filed under the name Pan troglodytes (chimpanzee). Its description in RNAcentral is "long non-coding RNA NONPTRT012949". Lineage: Eukaryota; Metazoa; Chordata; Mammalia; Primates; Hominidae. The record is from RNAcentral.